Long non-coding RNA from Triticum aestivum (bread wheat), 196 nucleotides. RefSeq lists it as uncharacterized. The record is from RefSeq and is a predicted model, not a curated record. The transcript is spliced from 2 exons. Lineage: Eukaryota; Viridiplantae; Streptophyta; Magnoliopsida; Poales; Poaceae.
AGGUUGUUGCUGACACCCAAAAAGCUCCUCAGUAGAUAUGUUCCUCUCCAGCACAUCACUUGGUGGAUCUAGAGAGGCAACCAUCAGCUUAUGAAAACGGGCAAAUAAAUUGCCUGCUAUUGUUCCUUACCAAGAGCUCUUAUCUACAUACAUGAAUGUGAACUCUGUAUCCAAUGGUAAAGCUCGCUUUAUCAGG